This 408-nucleotide ribosomal RNA is filed under the name Corycodus disjunctipes. RNAcentral's name for it is "partial 16S large subunit ribosomal RNA". It matches the Rfam family "Bacterial large subunit ribosomal RNA", at positions 1918 to 2597 of the family's 2925-position model. Lineage: Eukaryota; Metazoa; Arthropoda; Malacostraca; Decapoda; Tymolidae. The record is from RNAcentral.
UAAAAUUAAAGGGCCGCAGAAUUUUAACUGUGCAAAGGUAGCAUAAUAAUUAGUUUUUUGAUUGAAAACUGGAAUGAAGGGUUGGACAAAGAAAUUGCUAUCUAAUUUUUAAUUGUUGAAUUUAACUUUUAAGUGAAAAGGCUUAAAUAUACCAGGGGGACGAUAAGACCCUAUAAAGCAUUUUAUUGGGGUGAUAAAAGUAAAAAUUUUUAACUGCUUUAGUUUAAAUACAAUAAUGUUUGGAAAGAUCCUUAUUAAAGAUUUAAAGGUUAAGUUACUUUAGGGAUAACAGCGUUAUUUUUUUUAAGAGUUCUUAUCGAAAAAAAAGAUUGCGACCUCGAUGUUGAAUUAAAUUUUCUUUAUAAUGUAGUAGUUAUAAGAGAGGGUCUGUUCGACCUUUAAAUUUUU